GUGAGGAAUAUUGGUCAAUGGGCGAGAGCCUGAACCAGCCAAGUCGCGUGAAGGAUGAAGGUUUUAUGAAUUGUAAACUUCUUUUGCAGGGGAAUAAAGUACGGUACGUGUACCGUUUUGUAUGUACUCUGCGAAUAAGGAUCGGCUAACUCCGUGCCAGCAGCCGCGGUAAUACGGAGGAUCCAAGCGUUAUCCGGAUUUAUUGGGUUUAAAGGGUGCGCAGGCGGGUUGAUAAGUCAGCGGUGAAAGUUUGCAGCUUAACUGUAAAAUUGCCGUUGAAACUGUCGAUCUUGAGUGCAAAUGAGGUAAGCGGAAUGUGUUGUGUAGCGGUGAAAUGCUUAGAUAUAACACAGAACACCGAUUGCGAAGGCAGCUUACUGGGAUGCAACUGACGCUCAUGCACGAAAGCGUGGGGAUCAAACAGGAUUAGAAACCCCAGUAGUCC
This 445-nucleotide ribosomal RNA is filed under the name uncultured bacterium. RNAcentral describes it as "partial 16S ribosomal RNA". It matches the Rfam family "Bacterial small subunit ribosomal RNA", at positions 354 to 796 of the family's 1533-position model. The record is from RNAcentral.